Molecule: ribosomal RNA, 112 nt
Filed under: Salinibacter ruber
Lineage: Bacteria; Pseudomonadati; Rhodothermota; Rhodothermia; Rhodothermales; Salinibacteraceae
Also listed under: 1 other name
Source: RNAcentral
CCUGGUGGCUAUAGCGCGGGGGAAACACCUCUUCUCAUUUCGAACAGAGAAGUUAAGUCCCGCAGCGCCGAUGGUACUGGCCGUUGGCCGGUAGAGUAGGACGUUGCCAGGA